UUGAUUUCUCAUUGUUUUUUGUUGUUCCUUCUCCUUUUGAGGCCAUAGAGACCAGAUUCAUUUUUGGUUUCUUCAAAGGCCAAACCUUAUUUUCUCAGCAAACCCUUUUGCCAUCUUACACAAAAAGAAAAAAGAAAAAAUCUUGUUCGUCUGAGAGUCUCUGUCCCUUUUGGAUUUGAGGUUCAACAACAUUCAUGAACUUCAAGUAAUCUAUAAUCUUCUUGUAGUAGUAAUCCAGGAAGAUACAUUUAAACACAUAGACAGAAUGAAAAUGAAUUGCUUGUUCUGUUGUAUGUCCGAGAGACAAUUAACCAGACGAUCAUCAUCAAGACAAGGCAUCAAAGACUGCAUUGAUGCAAACAACACUCACACUCUUUCAAGAUUUGAAAACAUCUCUUAUAAAACAGGUCCCAGUUUUUUUUUUUAAUUAUCAUUUUCAUAAUAUACAUUAUCAGAUUUCAUGUUUUUCUAUCUAAACAAGCUGACAUAUGUACUUGCAGAUAGCAGUAGGAGAAGAUUCAUAUCCGAGGAGAUAUCAAAACUUGGGAAAGGGAACAUAAGUGCUCAGAUCUUUACCUUCAGAGAUCUCUGCGUCGCCACCAAGAACUUUAACCCCGAGAAUCAGCUCGGUGAAGGCGGUUUUGGAAGGGUUUACAAAGGGCACAUAGAAACCUCUGAAAAGGUAUAUAUACUUCCACUAUUUCUCACAACAUAUUCUUCAUACCCUUGUUCUUGAAUCUGAUUCUUGCAUGUAUUAUUAUAGGUUGUUGCGGUUAAGCAGCUAGACAAGAAUGGCUACCAAGGGAACAGAGAGUUUCUUGUGGAAGUCAUGAUGUUGAGUCUCUUACAUCACACAAACCUUGUAAACUUGGUUGGAUACUGCGCAGACGGUGAUCAACGGAUUCUUGUCUAUGAAUAUAUGCCAAAUGGCUCAUUAGAUGAUCAUCUUCUCGGUAUAUAUACAUCUCAAACGUUACAAAACAUCAUUACCCAUGCAUUUUAUAGUUUUAAAAAUUAUCUUCUUUAUUUCAGACUUGGGGCGGACCAAGAGGAAACCAUUGGAUUGGGACACAAGGAUGAAAGUUGCCGCAGGAGCAGCGAGAGGGCUUGAGUAUCUACACGAAACAGCUGAUCCUCCUGUGGUCUACAGAGAUUUCAAGGCCUCCAACAUAUUGCUUGACCAAGAAUUCAACCCAAAGCUUUCGGAUUUCGGUUUAGCUAAAGUUGGUCCGACCGGUGGACAGACUCACGUGUCGACCAGAGUGAUGGGAACAUACGGCUACUGUGCCCCUGAGUAUGCUCUCACGGGACAGCUCACUAUGAAGUCCGAUGUGUACAGCUUUGGAGUUGUGUUCUUGGAGAUGAUCACAGGAAGAAGAGUCAUUGACACGACCAAACCAACUCGAGAACAGAAUCUAGUGACUUGGGUAACAAGUAACGAAAAAACCCUUCAAUGUCUUUUAUUCAUUUGUGUUUUCUUGAUUGGUGGGUUGCUAAAAUGCGCAGGCGAGCCCAUUGUUCAAAGAUAGGAGAAAGUUCAGCUUAAUGGCGGAUCCGUUGCUUGGAGGGAAGUAUCCGAUGAAGGGACUGUAUCAAGCGCUUGCAGUUGUGUACUUAUGAGAACGGCAAAUAUAUAUAUCUAAUUGGAUACAUGGUCCAUCAAUGGAUGUGACACAGAGUUUUAGAAAUUGGCUUCUCUCUUGCUAGAAAUGUAACGGAGGCCGAAUGAGUUAUGUGAAGAUAAUUUCUCAUGCUAGUAACCUUUACUUAAGGUCUCCAGCUAAGAAAACUUUUUUAUCCUAUUUUCAUAAAACGACAUUAUUCUCACAAAUACAGAAAAAGUAGCAAAUAAUGCUGCUGAGAGAUCUGAUUAUGUUUUGAAGAUAACUUCUCCAUUUAAGAAAGUAAUCUUUUGUGUUAAGUAUUGCUAAACAGCUCGAAUGUACAAUUAUUAACUCCAUUUUCAACAAGAAAAGUAAAAAGAAAACACCUAGCCAUGGCGUGUCCUAGGCUGGUUCUACUGAUUCUGAUCAAGUUUUUAAUUAUUGAGAGUGUUUCAGCUAGUUUUUGGCAGACAUUUAGUGGUCAGAGCCAGUGAUAUUGCAUAUGGGUCGGUAAAUUUCUCCAGACGUAACACUAUGGUGUGAUCUCGAACUGACAAAGGAUAAUAUGGUGUUGGAAUCUUCUUCCCAAAUCUGAAUCUUGACAAUGGUUCUAAUGUCAUGUACACUCAAAUAAAAAAGAAUGGUUUCAUGUUGAUGUCACAUGGAAGGAACUCUCUGCUAGUGCUGUUAGUUAUAAGUGGAUUUUUAAGUAUCUUGUUUUUUUUUUUCUUGGAACCAUUUUCUUGCGAGUAAAGUUUUCUAAGUAUUAUUCAAUGUAUUGGAAUAACAACAACUCUGCGAAACAUACUUAAGAUAUCAAUACAAGUUUCCUCUGCGGUUAGAAACAUGGCGGUUCUUGUGACCUUCUUUAACUCAGUUUAGUGUAAUUAAGUGCUUGUAACUGACUUCAACUGCAGUUCUGCCAGUAUAAUCUAUGAAAAACAAUGAAUAAUAUACACCAUUCUUAUUUUGUGAGAUAUCUCAAAUAUUUCAAAUUUAGAAGAGGAUAUUAAUAGGAAUAUGGGAAAUGGAUAAAUAUAUUGCAAAACCAAAUAUAGUUUUACUUGAUCUUAAUUCUCUUCCAAUGGAUUUUCAUCAACCUUCACCAUCCAUUUAUUUCUUUUUUUCAAGGAAAAAAAUAUACAUAAAAUAAAAAGCCAAACAUACGGAAGAGUUCAUAGUAGCAAAAUUGAUUUCUCAUUGUUUUUUGUUGUUCCUUCUCCUUUUGAGGCCAUAGAGACCAGAUUCAUUUUUGGUUUCUUCAAAGGCCAAACCUUAUUUUCUCAGCAAACCCUUUUGCCAUCUUACACAAAAAGAAAAAAGAAAAAAUCUUGUUCGUCUGAGAGUCUCUGUCCCUUUUGGAUUUGAGGUUCAACAACAUUCAUGAACUUCAAGUAAUCUAUAAUCUUCUUGUAGUAGUAAUC
Molecule: long non-coding RNA, 3028 nt
Filed under: Brassica napus (rape)
Lineage: Eukaryota; Viridiplantae; Streptophyta; Magnoliopsida; Brassicales; Brassicaceae
Description: long non-coding RNA (BNAP_LNC002699)
Source: RNAcentral